UCAGUUCGGACUGGAGUCUGCAACCCGACUCCACGAAGCUGGAUUCGCUAGUAAUCGCGCAUCAGCCACGGCGCGGUGAAUACGUUCCCGGGCCUUGUACACACCGCCCGUCAAGCCAUGGGAGCCGGGGGUACCUGAAGUGCGUAACCGCGAGGAUCGCCCUAGGGUAAAACUGGUGACUGGGGCUAAGUCGUAACAAGGUAGC
RNAcentral lists this ribosomal RNA (205 nucleotides) under uncultured bacterium. RNAcentral describes it as "partial 16S ribosomal RNA". It matches the Rfam family "Bacterial small subunit ribosomal RNA", at positions 1288 to 1500 of the family's 1533-position model. The record is from RNAcentral.